CGUAGGGUGCAAGCGUUAAUCGGAAUUACUGGGCGUAAAGCGUGCGCAGGCGGUUGUGCAAGACCGAUGUGAAAUCCCCGGGCUUAACCUGGGAAUGGCAUUGGUGACUGCACGGCUAGGGUGUGUCAGAGGGGGGUAGAAUUCCACGUGUAGCAGUGAAAUGCGUAGAGAUGUGGAGGAAUACCGAUGGCGAAGGCAGCCCCCUGGGAUAACACUGACGCUCAUGCACGAAAGCGUGGGGAGCAAACAGGAUUAGAUACCCUGGUAGUCCACGCCCUAAACGAUGUCAACUAGUUGUCGGGUCUUAAUUGACUUGGUAACGCAGCUAACGCGUGAAGUUGACCGCCUGGGGAGUACGGUCGCAAGAUUA
Molecule: ribosomal RNA, 370 nt
Filed under: uncultured organism
Description: bacterial SSU rRNA
Rfam family: Bacterial small subunit ribosomal RNA
Source: RNAcentral